UAGCCGCAUACGAUACGCCAAUACGCCAUUAUGGCGUAUUUCGGCGAUAUGUAAAGUUGUAAACAUAUCACGUUAUAUUCAAUUAUUACUUUCCUGGUUAUAAAUCAUUAUAAAUAUACGCGUUUGACAAUGUCUGAUGAGGAAGUAAUACGCCGGCGACUACUUAUAGACGGUGACGGGACAGGGGACGAUCGUAGGAUCAACGUGCUAUUGAAAUCGUUUAUAAAAUGGAUUAAUAGUUCCGACGUGGAUAACACUUUGCACGAAAGAAUGCUUUCGCAAUUGGCACAGUGCGAGUUUGCACAGAAAAAGUCUAGACUGGUUUCAAAUAUGAGUCGAGAGGAAUUAAAAAGCUAUGAGCAGCUAUCGAAGGAAAUUGAAAUACAAAUAGAAAAGGCCAAGGAAGAUAUAGAGAAAACCAAGGUGGAGUUGCAGGAUGCCAAGCGUGUGAGAAAAAAUAGAAUAGAGUACGACGUAUUAGCCAAAGUCAUUAAUGAACAACCAGACCGAUUGGAAACACACAUCAAGCUUGAUACAUUGCAACAAGAGUUAGGUGCUUUAAAGGAAAAGUCGGAACAGUUGGAGCACAAGUUAGAAAUGCGCCGUAAGCAAUUCCAUGUUUUAAUAUCCUCCAUACAUUCUCUGCAAGGAAUGUUGGAUGAGGGUGAUCAAGAAGUGAUGGAUGUGAGCCUCGAGAAUGGCAGUGGGAACACAAAUGUGAUGUUACAUGACAAUUCAUAAAUUUGCUAGUUUUUGGAACAUGUCUAAUAGUUAAAGACAAUCUAGUACCACGUUUUAUUAUCUCAUCUUCUGUAAACUUUUUUGCACACAUGUGUAGAUUUUUUAUUGAAGAAUCCGAUAUACUAUCAGAGUUUCUUUCCGCUAUGGAAUGCAAAUAAUUAUGCUACCUCUGAUGUUUCAAGCCGUCUGUAAAAGUCAAGGAGGGUAUGGGAACCACAGCUAAUGGUGGUUACAACAGGAUAAAAAAGUGGGCCAUCCGAGUGUGCCUGGUGAAGACACUAUGUUACUACUCAGUACAAACCGACAUGUAUAUAUAUUCCUGCAUUUUCUCUAUUCCAAUGUAGAUAAAUAUUAUACUAAUUGUAAUUUAUACUUUACUAAUAUACUAAUAAAGAAAGAAAACAAG
Monomorium pharaonis (pharaoh ant) is the source of this 1147-nucleotide RNA transcript. It is a transcript of the gene named THO complex subunit 7 homolog, with no coding region annotated. The transcript has 5 exons. The record is from RefSeq and is a predicted model, not a curated record. Lineage: Eukaryota; Metazoa; Arthropoda; Insecta; Hymenoptera; Formicidae.